UACGUAGGCAGCGAGCGUUGUUCGGAGUUACUGGGCGUAAAGGGUGUGUAGGCGGUUGUUUUAAGUUUGGUGUGAAAUCUCCCCGGCUCAACUGGGAGGGUGCGCCGAAUACUGAAUGACUUGGAGUGCGGGAGAGGAGAGUGGAAUUCCUGGUGUAGCGGUGAAAUGCGUAGAUAUCAGGAGGAACACCGGUGGUGUAGACGGCUCUCUGGACCGUAACUGACGCUGAGACACGAAAAGCGUGGGGAGCAAACAGG
This 257-nucleotide ribosomal RNA is filed under the name uncultured bacterium. RNAcentral describes it as "partial 16S ribosomal RNA". It matches the Rfam family "Bacterial small subunit ribosomal RNA", at positions 524 to 776 of the family's 1533-position model. The record is from RNAcentral.